GCUGUGGAACUCCUACGGGAGGCAGCAGUGGGGAAUUUUGGACAAUGGGCGAAAGCCUGAUCCAGCCAUGCCGCGUGCAGGAUGAAGGCCUUCGGGUUGUAAACUGCUUUUGUACGGAACGAAAAGACUCCUUCUAAUAAAGGGGGUCCAUGACGGUACCGUAAGAAUAAGCACCGGCUAACUACGUGCCAGCAGCCGCGGUAAUACGUAGGGUGCAAGCGUUAAUCGGAAUUACUGGGCGUAAAGCGUGCGCAGGCGGUUAUAUAAGACAGAUGUGAAAUCCCCGGGCUCAACCUGGGAACUGCAUUUGUGACUGUAUAGCUAGAGUACGGUAGAGGGGGAUGGAAUUCCGCGUGUAGCAGUGAAAUGCGUAGAUAUGAGGAGGAACACCGAUGGCGAAGGCAAUCCCCUGGACCUGUACUGACGCCCAUGCACGAAAGCGUGGGGAGCAAACAGGAUUAGAAACCCUAGUAGUCCUACCACGU
Molecule: ribosomal RNA, 485 nt
Filed under: uncultured bacterium
Lineage: Bacteria
Description: bacterial SSU rRNA
Rfam family: Bacterial small subunit ribosomal RNA
Source: RNAcentral